Molecule: long non-coding RNA, 954 nt
Filed under: Homo sapiens (human)
Lineage: Eukaryota; Metazoa; Chordata; Mammalia; Primates; Hominidae
Description: HSALNT0274668
Source: RNAcentral
CGUUACCUAGGCGCCGUGUGCCCUGGGGUGAGCCACACCCACGGAACCCAGGUCACUGAAGCCCAAUCCCUGCAGGGCUUCAGAGGGAGUGGGAAGUGAGGCGCAGGGACCCUGCCUUGUACCCACAUCACUGGGCUCUGUGCUGACCACCAGACAGGAGGAGGUCCUAGUGCUCCACUCUGACUCUGAAGCACUGACUACAAGCACCUCUUGGGGGUCACGGCUGUUUCGCACACACAAAUCCACCAGAGGAGAGAUUGCAGGGCCAGCAUCCUGAGCCCCACCUGCAGGCCCUGGGCGCUUUCCUCCUGGCAGCUGUGCCCCCACCCGACCGGACCGCUCCCUGCAACCAGAGAGCCCUCACACCAGCAACACCCCCCAGCCUGCUCCCUCCUCGUGUGCGCGAAACUCAUGGCACUGGCUUGACGGCUUUCUCUGAAACCCUCUGAUUCCGCCUGGCCCAUCCACACUGUCCCUUCCCGGCCAGGGCUCAUCUCCUAUGCCUGGACCAAACAGCGUAGUCUCCAGUCUCCCUGAUCUCCCCACACGUGGCCCCACCCAUCCUCUGAAGCAGCCCCAGGAGGCAGCAGUGACUUCACACUUCUAGUGCCCGGCCCUCCCGGCCCUCCUCUCUGGGCUUGCUUGCCAGGGUCCUCCCAACCUGACUGCUGCCUCCCACCUCCUCUCCGCCCCUGGAGCUCUCCAGCCGCAGCCGCGGGGCCUGCUUGGGAUUCUCCUCUGCUGGCAUCAUCCCUGCCUGCCUCAGCCUUCCCAGGCCCAAUCCUGCCCGAUCUCACCUCUUCCCGCCCAGCCACCUGGUCGGGUCCCGACCAGCAUCUGCCUUCAAACCUGGAGUCCUUCCCUGAGUGCUUGCGGUGCACUGUGAGGAAGGAAAUCAAUGUAAAGGAUUAUGACCCACAUUUUUUAAAAAUAAAAAGAUUAAGGAGAACAGCA